AUCCAGGGAUGGGAAUCGAACCCACAGUGUUCCGCUUACCGGACAGAUGCCAUGUCCACUAGGCUACCCUGGA
This 73-nucleotide transfer RNA is filed under the name Cordylochernes scorpioides. RNAcentral describes it as "tRNA-Thr". Lineage: Eukaryota; Metazoa; Arthropoda; Arachnida; Pseudoscorpiones; Chernetidae. The record is from RNAcentral.